Molecule: ribosomal RNA, 1198 nt
Filed under: uncultured bacterium
Lineage: Bacteria
Description: bacterial SSU rRNA
Rfam family: Bacterial small subunit ribosomal RNA
Source: RNAcentral
AGGGACAAUCGGUGUUGGUCGAGGGAUGACCAGCACACUGGAAUGAAACACGCCCAAUUCUUACGGGAGGCAGCAGUGGGGAAUAUUGGACAAUGGGGGGCAACCCUGAUCCCAGGGACGCCCGCGUUGUGUGAAGAAGGCCCUGCGGGUUGUUAAAGCACUUUUUAGUGGGGAUGAAAAGCUCAGGGUUAAUACCCUUGAGUCUUGACCUAACCCAAAGAAAAAGCACCGGCUAACUCUGUGCCAGCAGCCGCGGUAAUACAGAGGGUGCGAGCGUUAAUCGGAAUUACUGGGCGUAAAGCGUGCGUAGACGGUUCUGUAAGUCGGAUGUGAAAUCCCCGGGCUCAACCUGGGAAUUGCAUUCGAGACUGCAAAGCUAGGGUGCGGAAGAGGGAAGCGGAAUUUCCGGUGUAGCGGUGAAAUGCGUAGAUAUCGGAAGGAACAUCAGUGGCGAAAGCGGCUUCCUGGUCCAGCACCGACGUUCAGGCACGAAAGCGUGGGGAGCAAACAGGAUUAGAUACCCUGGUAGUCCACGCCAUAAACGAUGAGAACUAGACGUUGAGAGGGUAAGCCUCCCAGUGUCGCAGCUAACGCGUCUAAGUUCUCCGCCUGGGAGUACCGCCGCAGGGUUGAAACUCAAGGCAUUGACGGGACCCGCACAAGCGGUGAGCAUGUGGUUUAAUUCGAUGCAACGCGAAGCACCUUACCUGGCCUUGACAUCCAUGGAAUCUUGCAGAGAUGCGGGAGUGCCUUCGGGAACCGUGAGACAGGUGCUGCAUGGCUGUCGUCAGCUCGUGUCGUGAGAUGUUGGGUUAAGUCCCGCAACGAGCGCAACCCUUGUCCUUAGUUGCCAUCAUUAAGUUGGGAACUCUAAGGAGACCGCCGGUGACAAACCGGAGGAAGGUGGGGAUGACGUCAAGUCAUCAUGGCCUUUAUGGCCAGGGCUACACACGUGCUACAAUGGCAGGUACAGAGGGCAGCGAACUCGCGAGAGGAAGCCAAUCCCAGAAAGCCUGUCGUAGUCCGGAUCGGAGUCUGCAACUCGACUCCGUGAAGUCGGAAUCGCUAGUAAUCGCAGAUCAGCAUUGCUGCGGUGAAUACGUUCCCGGGUCUUGUACACACCGCCUGUCACACCAUGGGAGUUGACUGCACCAGAAGCAGGUAGCCUAACCGCAAGGAUGGCGCCUACCACGGUGUG